CAGGCGCGAAAACUUUACAAUGCUGGCAACAGCGAUAAGGGGACCUCGAGUGCCAGGUUACAAAUCUGGCUGUCGUGAUGCCUAAAAAGCAUUGCAUAGCAAGGGCCGGGCAAGACCGGUGCCAGCCGCCGCGGUAACACCGGCGGCUCGAGUGGUAACCGUUAUUAUUGGGUCUAAAGGGUCUGUAGCCGGCCGGAUAAGUCUCUUGGGAAAUCCAGCAGCUCAACUGUUGGGCUUUCAGGAGAUACUGUCUGGCUCGAGGCCGGGAGAGGUGAGAGGUACUUCAGGGGUAGGGGUGAAAUCUUGUAAUCCUUGAAGGACCACCAGUGGCGAAGGCGUCUCACCAGAACGGACCUGACGGCAAGGGACGAAAGCUAGGGGCACGAACCGGAUUAGAUACCCGGGUAGUCCUAGCCGUAAACGAUACUCGCUAGGUGUCGGCCACGGUGCGACCGUUGUCGGUGCCGUAGGGAAGCCGUGAAGCGAGCCACCUGGGAAGUACGGCCGCAAGGCUGAAACUUAAAGGAAUUGGCGGGGGAGCAC
Molecule: ribosomal RNA, 543 nt
Filed under: uncultured archaeon
Lineage: Archaea
Description: bacterial SSU rRNA
Rfam family: Archaeal small subunit ribosomal RNA
Source: RNAcentral